UACGAAGGGGGCUAGCGUUGCUCGGAAUCACUGGGCGUAAAGGGCGCGUAGGCGGGCUGGCCAGUCCGGGGUGAAAGCCCACGGCUCAACCGUGGAAGUGCCUUGGAUACUGCCAGUCUCGAGGGAGGUAGGGGCGUGCGGAACUUCCGGUGGAGCGGUGAAAUGCGUAGAUAUCGGAAGGAACACCGGUGGCGAAAGCGGCGCGCUGGACCUCUUCUGACGCUGAGGCGCGAAAGCCAGGGGAGCAAACGGG
This 253-nucleotide ribosomal RNA is filed under the name uncultured bacterium. Its description in RNAcentral is "partial 16S ribosomal RNA". It matches the Rfam family "Bacterial small subunit ribosomal RNA", at positions 524 to 776 of the family's 1533-position model. The record is from RNAcentral.